AACGCAUAUUGCGCCCUCUAGUAUUCUAGGAGGCAUGCCUGUUCGAGCGUCAUUUCAACCCUCAGGCCUAGCCUGUUGUUGAGGCAUUAUAGCAUAUAAGCCUUGAAUUAUAGUGGCAGACCUUCUGGACGCCAAGCGUAGUAACUACUCUCGCUUAGGGGUUUCAGGUGGUAUCUAGCCGUAAAACCUCCUUAUCAUGGUUGACCUCGGAUCAGGUAGGAAUACCCGCUGAACUUAA
Molecule: unclassified non-coding RNA, 238 nt
Filed under: uncultured fungus
Lineage: Eukaryota; Fungi
Description: partial contains 5.8S ribosomal RNA, internal transcribed spacer 2, and large subunit ribosomal RNA
Source: RNAcentral